This 1076-nucleotide long non-coding RNA is filed under the name Mus pahari (shrew mouse). RNAcentral describes it as "lncRNA (MGP_PahariEiJ_G0005653.1)". Lineage: Eukaryota; Metazoa; Chordata; Mammalia; Rodentia; Muridae. The record is from RNAcentral.
GUCCAGAGGUCCGCCUGUGGUUUCGGGGUAUUUGGGGUGCCCCUGGAGUGAAGUACGUUCUGUAGCAAGCUGCACCGAAGUGAGAGGACCGUGCUGCAACGGGAGUCAUGGAGGGCCAGAGCGCGGAGAUGCUGCAGGCCAGGUGGAGGUGGAGAAGUUGCAGCGCGCCCGGGUGCACAAAUUGCUGGAGCGGGCAUUCGAGCUUGGCACCCUACCGGCCUCGGACCGCACUCCCCGACAGGCCGAGCUGCGGGCCCUGGCGCGGGACAGCACGCGGCUGCUCAUCACCCAGCGGUGGCUGCUGCCGACCGUGCGCGGGAGGAGGAGGUGGUAGCGCGCUUGCCGGUGCCCGCCACUCGCCUGCCCCGCGGGAAGCCGCUGUCCCGGCCACGGCCGCUCACCCGCUGGCAGCAGUUCGCGCAUCACAAGGGCAUCCAUCCAAGAAGAUCACCUUCAUGUGGGACGAGGUGAGUGGCCGGUGGAGGUGCUGAUGGGGCUGCAAGCUCGUCCGGAACCACACCAAGGAAUGGCUGAUCAACGUGCCUGGGGGCACCGACCCCAUGGAAGACUGGUUCGCCAAGCAGAUUUAGGCCAAGGAGGAACGCGUGGCCAAGAACGAGCUAAAGCGGCCGCGGAACCUGGCCCGAGUGUACAAGAUGCAGAUGCCCAACUCAGUCGGCCUGCACCCUACGGGACACCAGAGUAAGGAGGAGCUGGUCUGUGCCCUGCAAGUGGGUAGUGACUCCACCGCUGCAGUGGGACGCUUCCAGGAGCGCCUCCCCAAGAAGAAGACUCCGGGAAGAAGAGAAAGUUUCGGUCCCUCUUUGAGGACUUUGUGGCCGAGAAAAUGACCAGUUGGAGCUACUAAAAGUCAAGAACAGCAAGAAGCCCCAGCAGGAUGUGAGGGGGUGCACCAACAAGCAGAUGAGAGGAGGAAAAUGAGCCAGAAAGGCAAGAGAAAGGGGAUCCAGCAAAGAAGAGCAGGGGCUGGAGAGAUGGCUCAGCGGUUAAGAGCACUGACCUGCCCUUCCAGAGGUCCUGAGUUCGAUUCCCAGCAACCACAUGGUGGCUAAAUA